AGCAGCCGCGGUAAUUCCAGCUCCAAUAGCGUAUAUUAAAGUUGUUGCAGUUAAAAAGCUCGUAGUUGAAUUUCGGGAUCAAAGGAUCGGUCAUGCCUUGGUAUGUACUGGUUUUAUUGGUUCUCACCUUCUAAAGAACCAUAAUGUCAUUCAUUUGAUGUUAUGGGGAAUUAGGACUGUUACCUUGAAAAAAUUAGAGUGUUUAAAGCAGGCUUACGCUUGAAUACAUUAGCAUGGAAUAAUGAAAUAGGACGUUUGAUUCUAUUUUGUUGGUUUCUAGGAUCGACGUAAUGAUUAAUAGGGAUAGUUGGGGGCAUUAGUAUUCAAUUGUCAGAGGUGAAAUUCUUGGAUUUAUUGAAGACUAACUACUGCGAAAGCAUUUGCCAAGGAUGUUUUCAUUAAUCAAGAACGAAAGUUAGGGGAUCGAAGACGAUCAGAUACCGUCGUAGUCUUAACCAUAAACUACGCCGACUAGGGAUCGGAUGAUGUUAAUUUUU
RNAcentral lists this ribosomal RNA (497 nucleotides) under uncultured Glomus. Its description in RNAcentral is "SSU rRNA". It matches the Rfam family "Eukaryotic small subunit ribosomal RNA", at positions 569 to 1071 of the family's 1831-position model. The record is from RNAcentral. Lineage: Eukaryota; Fungi; Glomeromycota; Glomeromycetes; Glomerales; Glomeraceae.